Molecule: non-coding RNA, 147 nt
Organism: Caenorhabditis elegans
Lineage: Eukaryota; Metazoa; Nematoda; Chromadorea; Rhabditida; Rhabditidae
Source: Ensembl
CUAUAUACAGAAAGUUUCGCGUAAAGUGGGGUUCAGUAAGCGGAUAGCCUCGGGUGAGGCUGACAAUAAGUGUGCGAACGUGGUCAAGGCCAGUCAACCGGUGGACAAGAGAUGCAAUGGAUCGGUCGGAGACGCAGAUAUCUUUCC